AGUAAGCGCGAGUCAUCAGCUCGCGU
RNAcentral lists this ribosomal RNA (26 nucleotides) under Trentepohlia cf. annulata TreFl87. RNAcentral describes it as "partial 18S ribosomal RNA". RNAcentral also lists the same sequence under 1 other name. Lineage: Eukaryota; Viridiplantae; Chlorophyta; Ulvophyceae; Trentepohliales; Trentepohliaceae. The record is from RNAcentral.